Molecule: ribosomal RNA, 501 nt
Filed under: uncultured Rhodocyclaceae bacterium
Lineage: Bacteria; Pseudomonadati; Pseudomonadota; Betaproteobacteria; Rhodocyclales; Rhodocyclaceae
Description: bacterial SSU rRNA
Rfam family: Bacterial small subunit ribosomal RNA
Source: RNAcentral
GCCAGCCCGCUCAGAAACUUAAAGGAAGUUGACGGGGACCCGCACAAGCGGUGGAUGAUGUGGAUUAAUUCGAUGCAACGCGAAAAACCUUACCUACCCUUGACAUGGUCGGAAUCCCGCUGAGAGGUGGGAGUGCUCGAAAGAGAACCGGCGCACAGGUGCUGCAUGGCUGUCGUCAGCUCGUGUCGUGAGAUGUUGGGUUAAGUCCCGCAACGAGCGCAACCCUCGUCCUUAGUUGCCAGCAUUCAGUUGGGCACUCUAAGGAGACUGCCGGUGUUAAACCGGAGGAAGGCGGGGAUGACGUCAAGUCCUCAUGGCCCUUAUGUCCAGGGCUACACACGUGCUACAAUGGCCGGUACAAAGGGUAGCAAGACCGCGAGGUGGAGCUAAUCUCAAAAAACCGGUCUCAGUUCGGAUUGGAGUCUGCAACUCGACUUCAUGAAGGCGGAAUCGCUAGUAACCGCGAAUCAGCAGGUCGCGGUGAAUACGUUCCCGGGCCUU